UGCUGAUUUUUGCCACGGUGAUAUUUCUAAAUUAUGACUAUCACCGGGUGGAAAUUUGGCACA
Molecule: microRNA precursor, 63 nt
Filed under: Caenorhabditis brenneri
Lineage: Eukaryota; Metazoa; Nematoda; Chromadorea; Rhabditida; Rhabditidae
Description: microRNA cbn-mir-35l precursor
Gene: cbn-mir-35l
Source: miRBase by way of RNAcentral